AGGGAAUCUUGCGCAAUGGGCGAAAGCCUGACGCAGCAACGCCGCGUGCGGGUAGAAGGCCUUCGGGUGUAAACCGCUUUUGGCAGGAAUGAAAAUGACGGUACCUGCAGAAUAAGGUGCGGCCAACUACGUGCCAGCAGCCGCGGUGACACGUAGGCACCAAGCGUUGUCCGGAUUUAUUGGGCGUAAAGAGCUCGUAGGCGGUUCAGUAAGUCGGGUGUGAAAACUCUGGGCUUAACCCGGAGACGCCACCCGAUACUGCUGAACUUGAGUUCGGUAGGGGAGCGGGGAAUUCCUGGUGUAGCGGUGAAAUGCGCAGAUAUCAGGAGGAACACCGGUGGCGAAGGCGCCGCUCUGGGCCGAAACUGACGCUGAGGAGCGAAAGCGUGGGUAGCAAACAGGAUUAGAUACCCUGGUAGUCCACGCCGUAAACGUUGGGCACUAGGUGUGGGUUCCAACCAACGGAAUCCGUGCCGUCGCUAACGCAUUAAGUGCCCCGCCUGGGGAGUACGGCCGCAAGGCUA
This 524-nucleotide ribosomal RNA is filed under the name uncultured Actinomycetes bacterium. Its description in RNAcentral is "bacterial SSU rRNA". It matches the Rfam family "Bacterial small subunit ribosomal RNA", at positions 356 to 896 of the family's 1533-position model. Lineage: Bacteria; Bacillati; Actinomycetota; Actinomycetes. The record is from RNAcentral.